AACGAACGCUGGCGGCAUGCCUAACACAAGCAAGUCGAACGAGACCUUCGGGUCUAGUGGCGCACGGGUGCGUAACGCGUGGGAACCUGCCCUUAGGUUCGGAAUAACUCCCCGAAAGGGGUGCUAAUGCCGGAUAAUGCCUUCGGACCAAAGAUUUAUCGCCUUUGGAUGGGCCCGCGUUGGAUUAGCUAGUUGGUAGGGUAAAAGCCUACCAAGGCGACGAUCCAUAGCUGGUCUGAGAGGAUGAUCAGCCACACUGGGACUGAGACACGGCCCAGACUCCUACGGGAGGCAGCAGUGGGGAAUAUUGGACAAUGGGCGAAAGCCUGAUCCAGCAAUGCCGCGUGAGUGAUGAAGGCCUUAGGGUUGUAAAGCUCUUUUACCCGGGAUGAUAAUGACAGUACCGGGAGAAUAAGCUCCGGCUAACUCCGUG
RNAcentral lists this ribosomal RNA (433 nucleotides) under uncultured bacterium. RNAcentral describes it as "partial 16S ribosomal RNA". It matches the Rfam family "Bacterial small subunit ribosomal RNA", at positions 29 to 507 of the family's 1533-position model. The record is from RNAcentral.